This 254-nucleotide ribosomal RNA is filed under the name uncultured bacterium. RNAcentral's name for it is "partial 16S ribosomal RNA". It matches the Rfam family "Bacterial small subunit ribosomal RNA", at positions 57 to 305 of the family's 1533-position model. The record is from RNAcentral.
GCAAGUCGAGCGGUAACAGAUCUAGCUUGCUAGAUGCUGACGAGCGGCGGACGGGUGAGUAACGCGUAGGAAUCUACCUAGUAGUGGGGGAUAGCCCAGAGAAAUUUGGAUUAAUACCGCAUACGCCCUAAGGGGGAAAGGAGGGGAUCUGUUUACAGACCUUUCGCUAUUAGAUGAGCCUGCGUCGGAUUAGCUAGUUGGUGGGGUAAAGGCUCACCAAGGCGACGAUCCGUAGCUGGUCUGAGAGGAUGAUC